GCGGGAUUAGCUCAGUUGGUAGAGCAGCGCUUUUACACAGCGAAGGUCGCAGGUUCAAGCCCUGCAUCCCGCACCA
This 76-nucleotide transfer RNA is filed under the name Candidatus Nomurabacteria bacterium RIFCSPHIGHO2_02_FULL_42_19. Its description in RNAcentral is "tRNA-Val". It matches the Rfam family "tRNA". From Rfam's summary of the family: Transfer RNA (tRNA) molecules are approximately 80 nucleotides in length. Their secondary structure includes four short double-helical elements and three loops (D, anti-codon, and T loops). The record is from RNAcentral. Lineage: Bacteria; Candidatus Nomuraibacteriota.